RNAcentral lists this ribosomal RNA (1351 nucleotides) under metagenome. Its description in RNAcentral is "bacterial LSU rRNA". It matches the Rfam family "Bacterial large subunit ribosomal RNA", at positions 1564 to 2925 of the family's 2925-position model. The record is from RNAcentral.
UGAGUACGAGCUGCUACGGCAGCGAAGUGGGUGAUGUCAAGCUUCCAAGAAAAGCCCUAUACCCGUUAAGGCAUGAUGGCCUGUACCCGAAACCGACACAGGUGGGGUGGUAGAGAAUACCGAGGGGCGCGAGAUAACUCUCUCUAAGGAACUCGGCAAAAUGGCCCCGUAACUUCGGGAGAAGGGGUGCCACCGCAAGGUGGUCGCAGUGAAGAGGCCCAGGCGACUGUUUACCAAAAACACAGGUCUCCGCUAAGUCGCAAGACGAUGUAUGGGGGCUGACGCCUGCCCAGUGCCGGAAGGUUAAGGAAGCUGGUCAGCGCAAGCGAAGCUAGCGACUGAAGCCCCGGUGAACGGCGGCCGUAACGAUAACGGUCCUAAGGUAGCGAAAUUCCUUGUCGGGUAAGUUCCGACCCGCACGAAAGGCGUAACGAUCUGGGCGCUGUCUCGGAGAGAGGCUCGGCGAAAUAGAAUUGUCUGUGAAGAUGCGGACUACGUGCACCCGGACAGAAAGACCCUAUGAAGCUUUACUGUAGCUUGGUAUUGUGCUCGGGCUCGGAAUGCGCAGGAUAGGUGGGAGGCUAUGAACCAUUGCUUGUGGGUGAUGGUGAGCCACUGGUGAGAUACCACUCUUUCCGAGCUAGAGUUCUAACAGCCACCCGUUAUCCGGGGGCUGGACAGUAUCAGGUGGGCAGUUUGACUGGGGCGGUCGCCUCCUAAAAGGUAACGGAGGCGCGCAAAGGUUUGCUCAGGCUGGUUGGAAAUCAGCCGACGAGUGUAAAAGCAGAAGCAAGCUUGACUGUGAGACCUACAAGUCGAACAGGGAGGAAACUCGGCUUUAGUGAUCCGACGGUUCUGCGUGGAAGGGCCGUCGCUCAACGGAUAAAAAGUUACUCUAAGGAUAACAGGCUGAUCUCCCCCAAGAGUUCACAUCGACGGGGAGGUUUGGCACCUCGAUGUCGGCUCAUCGCAACCUGGGGCUGAAGUCGGUCCCAAGGGUUGGGCUGUUCGCCCAUUAAAGCGGUACGCGAGCUGGGUUCAGAACGUCGUGAGACAGUUCGGUCCAUAUCCGGUGCAUGCGCAGGAAUAUUGAGAGGAUUUCUCCCUAGUACGAGAGGACCGGGAGGAACGCACCUCUGGUGUACCAGUUAUCGUGCCAACGGUAAACGCUGGGUAGCCAUGUGCGGAGAGGAUAACCGCUGAAAGCAUCUAAGUGGGAAGCCCACCUCAAGAUGAGUAUUCCCAUGGGUUAACCCAGUAAGGUCACGGGAAGAACACCCGUUGAUAGGCUCUACGUGGAAGCGCAGUAAUGUGUGAAGCGGAGGAGUACUAAUAGACCGAGGGCUUGACC